GACGAACGCUGGCGGCGUGCUUAACACAUGCAAGUCGAACGGAAAGGCCCUGCUUUUGUGGGGUGCUCGAGUGGCGAACGGGUGAGUAACACGUGAGUAACCUGCCCUUGACUUUGGGAUAACUUCAGGAAACUGGGGCUAAUACCGGAUAGGAGCUCCUGCUGCAUGGUGGGGGUUGGAAAGUUUCGGCGGUUGGGGAUGGACUUGCGGCUUAUCAGCUUGUUGGUGGGGUAGUGGCUUACCAAGGCUUUGACGGGUAGCCGGCCUGAGAGGGUGACCGGCCACAUUGGGACUGAGAUACGGCCCAGACUCCUACGGGAGGCAGCAGUGGGGAAUAUUGCACAAUGGGCGGAAGCCUGAUGCAGCAACGCCGCGUGCGGGAUGACGGCCUUCGGGUUGUAAACCGCUUUCGCCUGUGACGAAGCGUGAGUGACGGUAAUGGGUAAAGAAGCACCGGCUAACUACGUGCCAGCAGCCGCGGUGAUACGUAGGGUGCGAGCGUUGUCCGGAUUUAUUGGGCGUAAAGGGCUCGUAGGUGGUUGAUCGCGUCGGAAGUGUAAUCUUGGGGCUUAACCCUGAGCGUGCUUUCGAUACGGGUUGACUUGAGGAAGGUAGGGGAGAAUGGAAUUCCUGGUGGAGCGGUGGAAUGCGCAGAUAUCAGGAGGAACACCAGUGGCGAAGGCGGUUCUCUGGGCCUUUCCUGACGCUGAGGAGCGAAAGCGUGGGGAGCGAACAGGCUUAGAUACCCUGGUAGUCCACGCUGUAAACGGUGGGUACUAGGUGUGGGGUCCAUUCCACGGGUUCCGUGCCGUAGCUAACGCUUUAAGUACCCCGCCUGGGGAGUACGGCCGCAAGGCUAAAACUCAAAGGAAUUGACGGGGCCCCGCACAAGCGGCGGAGCAUGCGGAUUAAUUCGAUGCAACGCGUAGAACCUUACCUGGGUUUGACAUGGAUCGGGAGUGCUCUGAGAUGGGUGUGCCUCUUUUGGGGUCGGUUCACAGGUGGUGCAUGGCUGUCGUCAGCUCGUGUCGUGAGAUGUUGGGUUAAGUCCCGCAACGAGCGCAACCCUUGUUCACUGUUGCCAGCACGUUAUGGUGGGGACUCAGUGGAGACCGCCGGGGUCAACUCGGAGGAAGGUGGGGAUGACGUCAAGUCAUCAUGCCCCUUAUGUCCAGGGCUUCACGCAUGCUACAAUGGCCGGUACAGAGAGUGGCGAGCCUGUGAGGGUGAGCGAAUCUCGGAAAGCCGGUCUCAGUUCGGAUUGGGGUCUGCAACUCGACCUCAUGAAGUCGGAGUCGCUAGUAAUCGCAGAUCAGCAACGCUGCGGUGAAUACGUUCCCGGG
RNAcentral lists this ribosomal RNA (1343 nucleotides) under uncultured bacterium. Its description in RNAcentral is "16S ribosomal RNA". It matches the Rfam family "Bacterial small subunit ribosomal RNA", at positions 28 to 1378 of the family's 1533-position model. The record is from RNAcentral.